This 58-nucleotide transfer RNA is filed under the name Myotis lucifugus (little brown bat). It matches the Rfam family "tRNA", at positions 8 to 63 of the family's 71-position model. Rfam says of the family: Transfer RNA (tRNA) molecules are approximately 80 nucleotides in length. Lineage: Eukaryota; Metazoa; Chordata; Mammalia; Chiroptera; Vespertilionidae. The record is from Rfam by way of RNAcentral.
UGGCUCAGUGGAUAGAGCGUUGGCCUGCGGACUGAAAGGUCCCGGGUUCGAUUCCCGG